AACGUAGGAGACAAACGUUAUCCGGAGUUACUGGGCGUAAAGGGCGUGUAGGCGGUCUGUUAAGUCUGGCGUGAAAGCUCUCGGCUAAACCGGGAGAGGUCGUUGGAUACUGGCAGACUAGAGGACGGUAGAGGCGUGUGGAAUUCCGGGUGUAGUGGUGAAAUGCGUAGAGAUCCGGAGGAACACCAGUGGAGAAGGCGACACGCUGGGCCGGACCUGACGCUAAAGCGCGACAGCAUGGGGAGCAAACGGG
Molecule: ribosomal RNA, 253 nt
Filed under: uncultured bacterium
Lineage: Bacteria
Description: partial 16S ribosomal RNA
Rfam family: Bacterial small subunit ribosomal RNA
Source: RNAcentral